This 440-nucleotide ribosomal RNA is filed under the name uncultured bacterium. RNAcentral describes it as "partial 16S ribosomal RNA". It matches the Rfam family "Bacterial small subunit ribosomal RNA", at positions 338 to 795 of the family's 1533-position model. The record is from RNAcentral.
CCUACGGGAGGCAGCAGUGGGGGAUAUUGCACAAUGGGGGGAACCCUGAUGCAGCGACGCCGCGUGGGUGAAGGAGCGCCUCGGCGCGUAAAGCCCUAUCGGCAGGGAAGAAAAUGCCGGUACCUGACGAAGACUCCCCGGCUAACUACGUGCCAGCAGCCGCGGGAAUACGUAGGGGGCAAGCGUUAUCCGGAUUUACUGGGUGUAAAGGGGGCGCAGACGGCGAUGCAAGCCAGGAGUGAAAGCCCGGGGCCCAACCCCGGGACUGCUCUUGGAACUGCGUGGCUGGAGUGCAGGAGGGGCAGGCGGAAUUCCUGGUGUAGCGGUGAAAUGCGUAGAUAGCAGGAGGAACACCGGUGGCGAAGGCGGCCUGCUGGACUGUGACUGACGUUGAGGCCCGAAGGCGUGGGGAGCAAACAGGAUUAGAUACCCGAGUAGUC